This 119-nucleotide ribosomal RNA is filed under the name Pteropus alecto (black flying fox). RNAcentral also lists the same sequence under 1 other name. Lineage: Eukaryota; Metazoa; Chordata; Mammalia; Chiroptera; Pteropodidae. The record is from RNAcentral.
GUCUACAGCCAUGCUACCCUGAACAAGCCUGAUCCUGUCUGAUCUCGGAAGCUAAGCAGGGUUGGGACUGGUUAGUACUUGGAUGGGAGACCACCUAGAAAGACCAGGUGCUGUAGUCA